UUGUUAACAUUGCUCGCCAGUGAGCAAAU
This 29-nucleotide non-coding RNA is filed under the name Bombyx mori (domestic silkworm). Lineage: Eukaryota; Metazoa; Arthropoda; Insecta; Lepidoptera; Bombycidae. The record is from RNAcentral.